CUACGCCUACGGGACGCAGCAGUGAGGAAUAUUGGUCAAUGGCCGGAAGGCUGAACCAGCCAAGUCGCGUGAGGGAAUAAGGCCCUAUGGGUCGUAAACCUCUUUUGUCAGGGAGCAAAGGCGUCCACGAGCGGACGAAAGGAGAGUACCUGAAGAAAAAGCAACGGCUAACUCCGUGCCAGCAGCCGCGGUAAUACGGAGGAGGCGAGCGUUAUCCGGAUUUAUUGGGUUUAAAGGGGGCGUAGGCGGAUUGUCAAGUCAGCGGUAAA
RNAcentral lists this ribosomal RNA (269 nucleotides) under uncultured bacterium. RNAcentral's name for it is "partial 16S ribosomal RNA". It matches the Rfam family "Bacterial small subunit ribosomal RNA", at positions 333 to 598 of the family's 1533-position model. The record is from RNAcentral.